CCUACGGGAGGCAGCAGUGGGGAAUAUUGCACAAUGGGGGAAACCCUGAUGCAGCGACGCCGCGUGAGUGAAGAAGUAUCUCGGUACGUAAAGCUCUAUCAGCAGGGAAGAAAAUGACGGUACCUGACUAAGAAGCCCCGGCUAACUACGUGCCAGCAGCCGCGGUAAUACGUAGGGGGCAAGCGUUAUCCGGAUUUACUGGGUGUAAAGGGAGCGUAGACGGCAGCACAAGUCUGGAGUGAAAUCCCGGGGCCUAACCCCGGAACUGCUUUGGAAACUGGGCGGCUGGAGUGCAGGAGGGGUAAGCGGAAUUCCUAGUGUAGCGGUGAAAUGCGUAGAUAUUAGGAGGAACACCGGUGGCGAAGGCGGCUUACUGGACUGUAACUGACGUUGAGGCUCGAAAGCGUGGGGAGCAAACAGGAUUAGAUACCCGUGUAGUC
Molecule: ribosomal RNA, 440 nt
Filed under: uncultured bacterium
Lineage: Bacteria
Description: partial 16S ribosomal RNA
Rfam family: Bacterial small subunit ribosomal RNA
Source: RNAcentral